AGGACAUACUGUACUGGCAGUCUCACAGGCAGCUGAAAAAAGAGUGGGCAUCUCAUGACAACUUAUAAAGGCUUGCAGUAUGGAAGAAGCUGCAAAUGGCCAUAAGGGAGAGAACAAAAGGCAAUGCAAUAUGGUACAUCCCAAACUAAUUGGUCAGCAGAGAAUUAUUGCAAACCUAAAUCCUUAACAAGAGAAAAUGGCACAGAAGGCAGAAAUGACUGAAACGACCUAGAGAUGGCAGAGCCUGUAAAAAUGAGGUUCUCAAGUGUGGGAAGAAGAAACUGAGAAGCAGAAGGGAUGCAGAGAAGACACCUACAGCAACCUGCAGCCUGAGAAGACAAGUAAAGGGCAAUCCUGCAGCUCCUGGCUCAGGCAUGCUAGCCAGUUAAGUAAUUACAUUAUC
Pogoniulus pusillus (Red-fronted tinkerbird) is the source of this 403-nucleotide long non-coding RNA. RefSeq lists it as uncharacterized. Lineage: Eukaryota; Metazoa; Chordata; Aves; Piciformes; Lybiidae. The transcript is spliced from 3 exons. The record is from RefSeq and is a predicted model, not a curated record.